Molecule: ribosomal RNA, 1335 nt
Filed under: Triticum aestivum (bread wheat)
Lineage: Eukaryota; Viridiplantae; Streptophyta; Magnoliopsida; Poales; Poaceae
Description: partial small subunit ribosomal RNA
Source: RNAcentral
AUGGAGUCGGAGCCGCGUGUCCUGGACACAGUCCAGCUUGUCCCGGUGCCUGCUCCGGUGGUGCCCGUGUCCGCCCCGCUCUCUGUGCUGGAUUCCGACCACAACGUGUUCGAGGUCGACUUCCGCACGCUUCGCAUAUUCCCUUCCCACCCGCCCUCCAUAGAUCCUUUCGGUGUUCUCCAGCGCGCUUUUGCAGCUGCUCUGGGUCUUUUCCCGGAGCUGGCCGGCUCAGUCCACGACGACGGCCGCGUCCUUGUAUCCGGGAGCGACGCCGUUCCCCUCGUGCUGGCGGUGUCAGACCUGAGGGCAGACCAAGUCGAUGCGGACAGGCUGGACGCAGCGCUGCUUGAGCAGCUGGUGCCAUCGGACCGUGUCGCCAUGGCAGACCCGGUGCUGGCGUUGAAAGCUACGGUGUUUGCGUGCGGCGGUGUCGCCCUGGGGAUGAGGUGUGCGCACGCGCUAUGCGACGGUGCCGGCGCCGACAAAUUCCUCGCGGCUGCGGCGCUGUUCGCACAGGGGAAGCAGCCGGCUGUGACGCCGGUGUGGGAGCGGCAGGAGCGGCUGGGGUCCAGGCGGCCGCCGCGCUUGGCGAUUCCGUUCGAGCGCGUCCUCGCGCCUCACAAGGACGUCGGGCCGUACAGGUAUGGGCAUGAGCAGCUGGUGGCGAGGGAGUGCUUCCAUGUGAGCAACGCAAGCGUGGGGACGCUCCGGGAGCAGCUCUCUGGCGAGGCCGGCCUCAAGCUCACAACCUUCGAGGUUAUCGCGGCGUUUAUCUGGCGCGCCAGGGUGAAGGCCAACGGAACUCGCCCCGACGAGCUAGUGAAGAUGGUCUACUCCAUGAACGUGAGCAGAAUUCUUGACCCGGCGCUCCCGGAUGGAUACUGGGGCAACGCGUGCGUCCCCGUAUAUGUGGCCCUUGCCGCCGGCGAGCUCGUCGGCCAGGGGCUGGCGGACACAGCUGCUCUUAUCAGGAGGAGCAAGCAAGCGGUGGACGACGAGUACGUUCGCUCCUACAUCGACUUCCAGGAGAUGCACCGCCGCCGCGGGGAGCGGGUGACGGCGGGUGGCGGUGUGAGCGCCUUCACGGACUGGCGGCGCCUCGGCCACUCGGAGGUGGAUUUCGGGUGGGGUCGGCCGGACGUCGUGCUGCCACUCUCUUGGCGGAUCCUCGGGAGCACGUUUCCGUGUUUCUUGCUGCCUUAUAGUUCCACGGACGAGAGGCGCCGGACAGGGUUCAAGGUCUUGGUCGCGCUCAUGGACCACGCACUGCCCUGCUUCACACACCAAAUGGAUGAUAUACUGCUCCACUGUCCGGCUCCUAUGGCUAAACUAUGA